Molecule: RNA transcript, 2526 nt
Organism: Diospyros lotus (date-plum)
Lineage: Eukaryota; Viridiplantae; Streptophyta; Magnoliopsida; Ericales; Ebenaceae
Gene name: probable zinc metalloprotease EGY1, chloroplastic
Exons: 11
Source: RefSeq, a predicted model, not a curated record
AGAUAGAUAUUAUUCAUUAGAGGAUAUGCUGCUGAUGCUGCCACAUCCAAAGGAAACAAGGCAAGCACGCAACGCAGAGACAGGCAUCGUCGCUACUCCUGCUCCGUGUUUGCUUCAGCCACCGUAUCUACCCCAUGCGGGCCGCCGCUGCUUGAAGUUCUCUCGGGGCACGAAGAAGACACCCACCCUAUCCCGUGGGAUUGCGCAUUGAACUUCUCUUUUUUCUAUGGCAACGCUCACGAGCUGCAGUUUCUGCAUUGUGAACCUGAAGUUCAUUCGCUGGACUCAAAAUGGCAACCCCAGCAGAAAAAGAAUUCUACUCUUGGAACGUAAGAGCAAGUGCUUUUUGUGGGGCAGGCAGGACGAUCAGGUACCCAAGAAGAGGCAUCGAGCUACUUUUGUUAGGCCUAAUUUUUAUAGGUUUAGGUGUUUUGGAGCGAAUGACCGUGGUGAUAACGUCGGGGAGGGUGGCAACAAUUCGUCCAAGGAUUCGAAUUUGGCUACUGCGACAUCAUCGAUGGAUGAGUCGGAAGAAGACAGAAGAAUGAGCACUACCGAUGAAUUUGAUUCCGAUAAGUCGCCUCCUUCCGUUUCAUCAAGGCCACCAACAAUUUCACCUGUUGAACCAGCUUAUAAUAAUUUCCAAGUUGACUCUUUCAAACUGAUGGAACUCCUCGGACCAGAGAAGGUUGAUCCUGGGGAUGUAAAGCUUAUAAAGGAAAAGCUUUUUGGCUAUUCCACCUUUUGGGUGACCAAAGAAGAGCCAUUUGGAGACUUAGGAGAGGGUAUUCUUUUUCUUGGCAACUUGAGGGGCAAGAGAGAGGAGGUUUUUUCCAAACUUCAGAGUCAGCUGACUGACCUUAUGGGUGACAAGUACAACCUAUUUAUGGUGGAGGAACCCAAUUCAGAAGGACCAGAUCCCCGUGGGGGUCCUCGUGUUAGUUUUGGCAUGCUGCGUAAAGAGGUCUCAGAACCACAGUCAACAACAUUAUGGCAAUAUGUGAUUGCUCUUUUGUUGUUCCUUCUCACCAUUGGUUCCUCUGUGGAGCUAGGAAUUGCAUCUCAGAUAAAUAGGCUUCCACCAGAAGUAGUAAAAUACUUCACAGACCCAAAUGCAAUUGAACCACCAGAUAUGCAGCUUCUAUUCCCAUUUGUGGAGUCUGCUCUGCCCCUGGCAUAUGGUGUCCUGGGAGUUCAGCUAUUUCAUGAAGUAGGGCAUUUUUUGGCUGCUUUCCCAAAGAAAGUAAAACUAAGCAUUCCAUACUUCAUUCCUAACAUUACUCUUGGCAGCUUUGGCGCAAUCACUCAGUUCAAAUCUAUUCUUCCUGAUCGGAAGACAAAGGUUGAUAUUUCUCUUGCUGGUCCAUUUGCUGGGGCUGCACUAUCCUUUUCUAUGUUUUCUGUUGGAUUACUGCUUUCAUCAAACCCAGAUGCUGCAGGGGAUUUGGUGCAGGUUCCUAGCAUGCUAUUUCAAGGUUCUUUGCUACUUGGGUUAAUCAGCAGAGCCAUUUUGGGUUAUGCAGCGAUGCAUGCCGGGACAGUUUCGGUCCAUCCUCUUGUAAUUGCAGGCUGGUGUGGGUUAACUACAUCAGCUUUUAAUAUGCUCCCGGUGGGAUGUCUUGAUGGUGGAAGAGCAGUGCAGGGUGCCUUUGGAAAAAAUGCACUGAUUGGAUUUGGUUUGACGACCUACACAUUGCUUGGACUGGGAGUGCUUGGUGGGCCGUUGUCGCUUCCAUGGGGCCUGUAUGUGUUGAUAUGUCAGAGGGCACCAGAGAAACCGUGUUUGAAUGAUGUGACAGAGGUUGGAACAUGGAGGAAAACAGUUCUUGGGGCGGCUAUUUUACUUGUUGUGUUGACACUCUUUCCCGUAUGGGACGAGCUUGCAGAGGAGCUGGGUAUAGGCCUUAUAACUACAUUUUGAUGCAAAUAACAUAGCUAUCCAAUUUUGGCUUUGAAAGUAAAAUUAGAAAUAAAGGAGGGUGUGAGAUGAUUUUCUAGUUGGGAUUCUAGGCAACUGCAACCAUACCUGUGGCUGGAAACCAAACCAACUUCAGUUGCGUUUCGGUUACAACCCAAUCUUGAGAGGAGGUCUUGCACGCUGGAAAAUAUGUUUAGUCUGAAAAGCUAACAACCCUUGGGACACUUGCUUUAUCAUCAUUCAAAUCAAACGUAAUGUUUUUGAAGUCUCCGCACAUUCAAGGAGUUUCUUUGACAUGUGAUAAAGAGAACUAGGUAGGUCGGGAGGACCAUGCUAUUUUGCCAGAGGGGUUUAUUUGUUUAUUUAUUGAUUGAUAGAAGCAUGUCAAAAUAAUAAAAAUACCCUCCACACUCAUGCCUUCUGUAAUUGUUUCCCCUUCCUUUUCAUAAUUGUUGCAUCUCUCAUCUCUCCCCCUUUCCAUAGCCACCAUCACCUUGUCUCCUCACUGUUUUUCCUCACGCCUCGUGUUGCCUCGCUUCUCAUCUACUGACCGUCGUUGUAUCCACCUCCAACCAUGGAAAAUGAGAGAAAUGAGAGAGGCGAUGGCC